Molecule: small RNA, 26 nt
Filed under: Arabidopsis thaliana (thale cress)
Lineage: Eukaryota; Viridiplantae; Streptophyta; Magnoliopsida; Brassicales; Brassicaceae
Description: ATSL047200
Source: RNAcentral
AAAGAAGAAGAAAAAAUUCAGACAUA